CCGGCGAGGGGAGUGAAAAAGAACCUGAAACCGUGUACGUACAAGCAGUGGGAGCACGCUUAGGCGUGUGACUGCGUACCUUUUGUAUAAUGGGUCAGCGACUUAUAUUCUGUAGCAAGGUUAACCGAAUAGGGGAGCCGAAGGGAAACCGAGUCUUAACUGGGCGUUAAGUUGCAGGGUAUAGACCCGAAACCCGGUGAUCUAGCCAUGGGCAGGUUGAAGGUUGGGUAACACUAACUGGAGGACCGAACCGACUAAUGUUGAAAAAUUAGCGGAUGACUUGUGGCUGGGGGUGAAAGGCCAAUCAAACCGGGAGAUAGCUGGUUCUCCCCGAAAGCUAUUUAGGUAGCGCCUCGUGAAUUCAUCUCCGGGGGUAGAGCACUGUUUCGGCA
RNAcentral lists this ribosomal RNA (392 nucleotides) under Escherichia coli. Its description in RNAcentral is "partial 23S ribosomal RNA". It matches the Rfam family "Bacterial large subunit ribosomal RNA", at positions 526 to 920 of the family's 2925-position model. RNAcentral also lists the same sequence under 1 other name. The record is from RNAcentral. Lineage: Bacteria; Pseudomonadati; Pseudomonadota; Gammaproteobacteria; Enterobacterales; Enterobacteriaceae.